UGGGGAAUUUGGACAAUGGGCGAAAGCCUGAUCCAGCAAUGCCGCGUGUGUGAAGAAGGCCUUCGGGUUGUAAAGCACUUUUGUCCGGAAAGAAAUCCUUGGCUCUAAUACAGUCGGGGGAUGACGGUACCGGAAGAAUAAGCACCGGCUAACUACGUGCCAGCAGCCGCGGUAAUACGUAGGGUGCAAGCGUUAAUCGGAAUUACUGGGCGUAAAGCGUGCGCAGGCGGUUUGUUAAGUCAGAUGUGAAAUCCCCGGGCUCAACCUGGGAACUGCAUUUGAAAACUGGCAAGCUAGAGUCUCGUAGAGGGGGGUAGAAUUCCAGGUGUAGCGGUGAAAAUGCGUAGAGAUCUGGAGGAAUACCGGUGGCGAAGGCGGCCCCCCUGGACGAAGACUGACGCUCAGGUGCGAAAGCGUGGGGAGCAAACAGGAUUAGAUACCCUGGUAGUCCACGCUGUAAAACGAUGUCGAUUUUGGAGGUUGUGCCCUUGAGGCGUGGCUUCCGGAGCUAACGCGUUAAAUCGACCGCCUGGGGAGUACGGCCGCAAGGUUAAAACUCAAAGGAAUUGACGGGGUCUAGCUGUUUCC
RNAcentral lists this ribosomal RNA (588 nucleotides) under uncultured bacterium. Its description in RNAcentral is "partial 16S ribosomal RNA". It matches the Rfam family "Bacterial small subunit ribosomal RNA", at positions 356 to 931 of the family's 1533-position model. The record is from RNAcentral.